This is an RNA transcript of Arvicola amphibius (Eurasian water vole), 3345 nucleotides long. It is a transcript of the gene named ribosomal oxygenase 1, with no coding region annotated. The transcript has 5 exons. NCBI's taxonomy places the organism in Eukaryota, Metazoa, Chordata, Mammalia, Rodentia, Cricetidae. The record is from RefSeq and is a predicted model, not a curated record.
GGAGGCUGCAGCCUAUAGCACUCCUGUUCCAUUACCUCUGGGAAACCCUCCCCAGGUCAAAGCCUGCUGCUCCAGCAGCUGAUCAUUCAGCCAACCCAAGCACAUGUCUUAUCCACCAAGGUGAGCUGUGGCUGUACGCAGGGAGGAGAAGAUUGUACCAUCCCAUGCUGAAGAACUUCUAGUACGUGGAAGGGCCAAGCUGUUUUCCGGGCUGGAGCCAGGCGCUGUGGUUCAAAGUUCAAGGCUGUUUCAUGGAUGAGAAGGGGAAGGGGAGUCUAUGCGAGGGGCUGCUCUCACGUGCAGAACACAUUGGCUUUCUUGUUCCAGAGUGCCUGUGACUUUUAAAUGCCACACCAUGCCUUAUUAGCAAACAUUCAUUUUUGUCCUCAAGGAAAAUGACGUGCCCCUUCUGCCAGAACUGCACGUUACAGAAGGAGGAGGCUGGAGAGGAAGAAGGAAAAAUAAGCCGGAGAACACAAUUCUUUGAUGCAAGAGGGAUGGAUGCCUGGGCAGGGAGAGAAAAAAAUGGGAUGAAUGUUAAAAGAAGGUGGCAAGCCCGGUCAGCCAAAGGGCCAGGAGGACGGUAGGCGUGGCCUACUAGAGGCGGCAGGAGGGUACGCCCCCUUCCCAGCAAGCACGGCGGCUGCAGGAGCGCGGCUCCGGCCGGCUUUCUCCGGUUCUGUACCGCCCCGCCAUGGAGGAGCUUCAGAACGGCGCGGCGCGGCCCAGGCGCGGGCGGGGGAGGCGGCGGCGCCAGCCGCAGCCCCACGACGGGUCGGUCUUGGCCCUGCCCUCGAGACCCCGGAGGAUCCGCAGGCAUCGGAAAACUGCGGCGGCCCGCGUGGGCGCGCUGAGGGCUCGCACGCUGCUGCGGAAGGCCUCGGCCUCCAAGGUGGAGCCGGCCGCGGGCGCGCUGGAGGCGCCUGCCGAGCAGCGGGAGCCCUCGCGCUCGGAGCCGCGGACGGCUUCGGUGUCCGUUCGGCGCCGCGUGGAGGGGCGGCCCGCCGUCUCCCGCCUCCUGGGGACCCCGGACCCCCUUCCGGGCCCGCGCGGGGAUGACGCGGAGCGGCCGUGGGACUCGCCGCUGCAGCAGGUGUUGGCCGAGCUGAACGGCAUCCCCAGCAGCCGGAGGCGCGCCGCCCGCCUCUUCGAGUGGCUCCUGGCGCCCCUGCCCCCGGAUCACUUCUACCGGCGCCUGUGGGAGCGGGAGGCGGUGCUGGUGCGGCGGCAGGACCCCAGUUACUACGGAGGCCUCUUCUCCACCGCCGACCUGGACUCGAUGCUGCGCCACGAGGACGUGCAGUUCGGGCAGCAUCUGGACGCCGCGCGCUACAUCGACGGGCGGCGGGAGACCCUGAACCCACCGGGCCGCGCCCUGCCCGCCGCCGCCUGGUCCCUGUACCAGGCCGGCUGCUCCUUGCGCCUUCUCUGCCCGCAGGCUUUCUCGCCCACCGUGUGGCAGUUUUUGGCCGUGCUCCAGGAACAGUUCGGGAGCAUGGCCGGCUCUAACGUUUACCUCACGCCCCCCAACUCCCAGGGCUUUGCCCCCCACUACGACGACAUUGAGGCUUUCGUGUUGCAGCUGGAAGGUCGGAAACUCUGGCGUGUCUACCGACCGCGGGACCCAAGUGAGGAGCUGGCUCUGACAUCUAGUCCCAACUUCAGCCAGGAGGACCUUGGUGAGCCGGUGCUACAAACGGUGCUGGAACCUGGUGACCUGCUUUAUUUUCCUCGGGGCUUCAUUCAUCAAGCCGAAUGUCAGGAUGGAGUUCACUCUCUGCACCUCACCUUGUCCACCUUCCAGCGCAAUACAUGGGGUGACUUCCUGGAGGCUGUACUUCCCCUGGCCGUGCAAGCAGCAAUAGAAGAAAAUGUGGAGUUCCGCAGGGGUCUGCCUCGAGACUUCAUGGAUUACAUGGGGGCCCAGUAUUCAGACUCUAAGGAUCCGAGAAGAACAGCUUUCAUGGAAAAGGUGCGGGUCUUGGUUGCGCGCCUGGGACACUUCGCUCCUGUCGAUGCUGUGGCCGACCAGAGAGCCAAAGACUUCAUCCACGAUUCUCUGCCCCCGGUGUUGACUGAUCGGGAACGGGCACUGAGUGUUCACGGGCUCCCAAUUCGCUGGGAGGCUGGAGAGCCUGUCAAUGUGGGGGCCCAGUUGAGCACAGAAACAGAAGUCCAUAUGCUCCAGGAUGGCAUAGCUCGGCUGGUGGGUGAGGGAGGCCGUUUGUUCCUCUAUUACACGGUGGAAAACUCCCGUGUUUAUCAUCUGGAGGAACCCAAGUGCUUGGAAAUCUACCCACAGCAAGCUGACGCCAUGGAGCUCUUGCUUCGCUCCUACCCAGAGUUUGUGAGAGUAGGGGAUCUGCCCUGUGACAGCGUGGAAGACCAGCUUUCCUUGGCAACCAUGCUGUAUGAUAAGGGGCUGCUGCUCACCAAGACCCCUCUUGUCUGAGUUAGUGUCUUGAGGAUGGCUGGAGAAAAUGCGGUCGUGAUUCUCCUUCCACUACCGCCGGCACCUUUUUCUCCCUUAAAGAAGUCCUGGUCUUACCUUGCUGAAAAUCAGUAUGGUUACGCUUACCUUGAUGGCUGCUUGAGUGUCGCAAAGCUCGGACCCUCUUCUAGGAGGAACCUCUUCAUCUAGUUGGACGAAACUUCCCCAAAUCUGGCAAGUGCAUAUUCUCAUGGUUGGUGGAAGAGAGCCUGGUGAACCAGAAAGAGCACUUGGAAGCAGAAGAUCCGGGUUUGGGGUGGUAGCUGGUAGGCAACUGGCCGAAUGACCUGAGGUUGCUGCUUACAGAUUUUUGAGUGUACCGAGCACAGCAGAGAUGGUGACACUCUUCAGGUCCAACAGAUAAGAUGACAACAUGCUGCCUUGACUUACCAUCUUGUCACAGAUCUGCAGGGCACCUGCCGCCAAACAAGCUGCCUGCCGAAUUGCUAUGAACUCAUCAGAGAAGCAGGUCAGGAAGCUUGGGAGAAGCUUGGCUGUCAUGAGCUUGAGCACACGGAUCAGGGAGAGGGCCUCAAUCCGUUCCUGGGAAUUUCCUUGACUCAGCUUAAUCCUGGAAGACACAAGUGACUUUUAUUUCCCUUAAACUUUUCUGUGCCUUGUUCCCUUCCACCAUGCCCUCAGGAUAGAAUCCUAGCUUUGUGGGUCCAGUUGCCUGAAGACACACCUUUAUAAUCAUUUGUGGGUCCAGUUACCUGAAGACACACCUUUAUAAUCAUUUAAGUUUCACUGGGUUCAGACCUCAGGUGCCUUAUUUUCCUGAACUCCUAUUACCUCGCGUAUGGUAGACAUUCAGGUGUCUUGAACAACCAAAUAAAGGAAAGUGUCAACCUGUA